CGGACUUUUAAUCCGUUGGUCGCGUGUUCGAGUCACGCACGACCCACCA
RNAcentral lists this transfer RNA (49 nucleotides) under Cupriavidus sp. RNAcentral describes it as "tRNA-Ser". It matches the Rfam family "tRNA", at positions 27 to 71 of the family's 71-position model. Rfam says of the family: Transfer RNA (tRNA) molecules are approximately 80 nucleotides in length. Their secondary structure includes four short double-helical elements and three loops (D, anti-codon, and T loops). Lineage: Bacteria; Pseudomonadati; Pseudomonadota; Betaproteobacteria; Burkholderiales; Burkholderiaceae. The record is from RNAcentral.